Acipenser ruthenus (sterlet) is the source of this 3437-nucleotide long non-coding RNA. RefSeq lists it as uncharacterized. The transcript is spliced from 4 exons. Lineage: Eukaryota; Metazoa; Chordata; Actinopteri; Acipenseriformes; Acipenseridae. The record is from RefSeq and is a predicted model, not a curated record.
UCUUUACAGAUUCAGACCCCACAAGCCCUCCUUCCACUCCGGUCACUCAAGAAGCAGAAUCCUCGAGGCCCCCUUCCACUCCGCUCUCUCAAGAUAACAUGGCAACAGCAAGGGUCAAACUAAAUGUACCCAAAGGAGUGAAUCUUGAGGACCCCAAAGUGUACGAAGCCAUUUUAGAGCAGAUUCGGGAGCAUCUCUCCAAGAACUUUCCAAUGGACGGUGUUAAUCUGCGCUGGAGAAGACAAGACGGAGAGAUAUUCCACAAGGAUGAAGAGGAGGAGAAGGAGAAGUACUUCAUGCCGUGAGAUACCUGCGCCCACAAUGACAAGCGAGGGCUUUCAGCGAUAGAGCCGUCGAUGCGGGCUCUGCCGUGUGGUAGAUGACUGCAUCUGGAGUUUUGAGUCCUGAGCUGAGGGUGCUAAUGAAAGUCAAGGUCAUCUACCACACGGUACAGCCCACAUCAAGAGGGCUCUAUCACUAUUAAAACAUGAUUUAAUUCUUUAUUUUCUCUUAAAAAAAAAACAACAACUUUAAAACCUAUAUUUACGUUGAACUUCUGAUAUUUCGGCAGAUAACCUUCCGCUGAGGAAGAUAGUCCCUAACAUAAUUAGAAUAGAAAAAUGACAUGCGCGUAGAUAAAACCGUUAUUAUCAUUAUUAUUAUUAUGACAUUGCCAGAUAAAUUAACUGUAGGCUUGUUGAAUAGUCUGUGUAGUAUUGAGGCAGACUCAAAACUUGUUAUUAUCAUUAUUAUUAUUAUGACAUUGCCAGAUAAAUUAACUGUAGGCUUGUUGAAUAGUCUGUGUAGUAUUGAGGCAGACUCAAAACUUGUUAUUAUCAUUAUUAUUAUUAUGACAUUGCCAGAUAAAUUAACUGUAGGCUUGUUGAAUAGUCUGUGUAGUAUUGAGGCAGACUCAAAACUUGUUAGAGGCGGGGCGUCAUUCAAGCUGGCAGGGAGUGGAUUGGCUGCUGUGGAAAGAACUGAAGCAGGGUUGGCAGUUUAACUGGCUGGUUUUGAUGGAGGGUGUUGUUUGGAUCCAGCUGAUGACAGAAUUGUGGACCAGUCGUGUCUUUCCUGUUGAUUUUCUGUGAAUUGAGCCUUCAUUACGCUGUCUUGUCACACACAUGAUUUUGCUUGUCUCUAGACCAACGUCAGAAAGUGUGUUUAAGUAGUUUUUUAUGUGAUCAGAUUAGUUGUAGAUUAGAGUGUUAAGGGAGAAAGCUGGUAUUUAUGCACAGAUUGAUUUAAAAUGGAAUUCACAGCUAAGCACUUCAACGUUGCAACAUUCCGGAAGCCCGCUAGAUCUGGAAGCUGAUUGGCUGUUCGCACUCAAUUUUCUGCUGGUUAAUAUUCAUCUGACAUUAUCUACUGGUGUUUUUUUUUUUUUUAAUUUUAUGAUAAUUUAAAUAUAUCUUCAAUUAUUUACUGGUGCUGCACAUUUAUAGUAAGUUGAUAGUGAGUGUGUGUGUGUGUUUUAAUGUAAUGAUAAUUUAAAUAUAUAUUUAGGGCUUCGGAUUUUCAGUUUUAACCCCUGAUACAAAAAGAUUUAAUCGGUUAACAGACAAUAAACACCAGAAAAACUGUGGAAAUGGUUAAUCUAUGCAUGUUGACUGUACCCUUUUCACAUUUAAAAAAAUCAAACCCUGUGAAUACAUUUCACAGGGCUGCUGGGCAAUGUCCUGCCUUCCUGACUUGUGUCUAUCAUUGAUUCGUUCUGAAUACUUUAAACCCGCCCCAACUACUGAGUGACAGCACAUUCCUACGUUUCUAUUGGAGACUCCGCUGGCGAGAUUUAAAACGAGAUUACACUCAGGAUGGAAGCUUGUUAGCGGGAUUUCAAGCUGUAUUACAGUUAAGAUACGGAGGAUUUAAAACUGAAUUGUGACAAUGUACACAAAUUCCUGAACACAAACCCCAGAAGAAUGUGCCCGUGACCAUAGGGAUUUCGUUGUGGAAGACAGCAAAGGAAAGAAGGUACAACUUAAGUGUGCAAGUACUGUCGAGUUACUACUAUACAUAUUGUCACACACACACAAAAAAGCAUUUUGGAAAGUAACCAAAAACACUAAUUUCAUACAGAAUAUCAAAAACGAAAGCCCCGAAAAAAAAACGAUUGACAUAAAACUCGAAUAGCUAAAAAUAAGCACCGAAAAAUACAAUUAAUAAAACCCGAAAAACAGAAGCCCUAAAUAUAUUCAAUUAUUUACUGGUGCAGCACAUAUUUAUAUUAAGGUGAUGGGGUGUGUGUUUUUAAUUUAAUGAUAAUUUAAAUAUAUGUUCAAUUAUUUACUGGUGCAGCACAUAUUUAUAUUAAGGUGAUGGGGUGUGUGUUUUUAAUUUAAUGAUAAUUUAAAUAUAUGUUCAGUUAUUUACUGGUGCAGCACAUAUUUAUAUUAAGGUGAGGUGUGUGUGUUUUAAUGUAGUAAAUGAUUCUAAUAGAGGUUACAUUAGUUACUGGUGCAAGUUUCUUUCACCUUGUAAAGAAUAUAUUCAGAGUGGUAACAGAGUAAUAGGCCUCUUCCCCAUGGCAUGGCAGAGCAUGGAUUCACAGAAUGAAUGUACAAUUUGCAGUGUACUAUUAAAUCCUAUAGAGGGCACCACAAACACAUUUACUGAGGGAGGAAGGGAGCAAGCUCCUGUAUAAUUAUACAAUCACCUGGAAGGUCUUGAUGCUGCAGUACAUUACAAACAGCAGCCAGGAUACAGGUGUUGAAUUGCUUAUCAGGAGGACAGGGCUAAGGUAGAUGGCAGAUGAAGGACAGUUCUCUUUUUCACAUGAUCCUCCAGUGCAAUGACAUGGGCAGCUCCAGCCUGGUCACUCUGAGCCUCUGUCUGGUAAGUGAGACGAGUUGUCCUAGUGCAGCUCAGCAAGCUGGUCUCUUCCAGUCCAGGUCUGCGUUCCAACCAUGGCUGCGUUUCUACCUGGAGGAAAAGCCCUCCAGGACUGGAGCCUGUCGCAAUGCAAGUGAAGCUGCAGCAUAUACUAGCACUGUGGCGCCCCCUAUGGUUUUUAAAUAGGUCUGCAUUAUCACACAGAAAUAUAUGUGCAGUCUGCAGGGUGCAAUGCAACAUGGGGUGAAGUCAUUAAGGCUAUGAGUAGGGUGGUUUGCUACAGCUUAUGAUUUCAAUGGAAAUGUCUUAUUUUUUCUGAUAUUUAAUUUACAUUGCUGUAAAAAACAUAAAAAUAACAGGGUCACUGACUCAGUUUUAUUUCUCAUUAUAGUGUAUGGGGAGCAGGGGAGGGGACCCAGAUCCAUGCAUUCAUGAAACAUGUUCCUCUCAUGCAAACACAUAGAAAUCACACGAGCUGUACCAAAGAAUAUGUGCGAUUCAUGUCAUUGUAUUGUAUGAAGGGUUGUGCAUGACAACGAUACUCUACUACUCUGUAUUUCUGAAUGUAUUUUUGCUGAUUUAUUUCAAUAAAGUUUCAAUCUCAA